RNAcentral lists this ribosomal RNA (383 nucleotides) under uncultured eukaryote. RNAcentral's name for it is "partial 18S ribosomal RNA". It matches the Rfam family "Eukaryotic small subunit ribosomal RNA", at positions 592 to 976 of the family's 1831-position model. The record is from RNAcentral.
CAAUAGCGUAUAUUAAAGUUGUUGCAGUUAAAAAGCUCGUAGUUGGAUUUCUGGUGGGAGCGAUCGGUCUGGCGCUUAGCGCGAGUACUUGCAUCGUCUCCGGCCAUCCUUGGGGAGAGUCUGUCUGGCAUUAGGUUGUCGGGCAGAGGAUCCUCAUCGUUUACUGUGAAAAAAUUAGAGUGUUCAAAGCAGGUUUAUGCCGUUGAAUAUAUUAGCAUGGAAUAAUAAGAUAGGACUUUGGUACUAUUUUGUUGGUUUGCGCACCAAAGUAAUGAUUAAUAGGGACAGUUGGGGGUAUUCGUAUUCCGUUGUCAGAGGUGAAAUUCUUGGAUUUACGGAAGACGAACUACUGCGAAAGCAUUUACCAAGGAUGUUUUCAUUAA